GCCCCGGUAGCCCAAUCGGCAGACAGGCAGCACCCUCAAAAGGUGAACAGUGUGGGUUCGAGUCCCACCCGGGGCA
This 76-nucleotide transfer RNA is filed under the name Thermomonospora echinospora. Its description in RNAcentral is "Actinomadura echinospora tRNA". It matches the Rfam family "tRNA". Rfam says of the family: Transfer RNA (tRNA) molecules are approximately 80 nucleotides in length. Lineage: Bacteria; Bacillati; Actinomycetota; Actinomycetes; Streptosporangiales; Thermomonosporaceae. The record is from Rfam by way of RNAcentral. RNAcentral also lists the same sequence under 1 other name.